Molecule: ribosomal RNA, 340 nt
Filed under: uncultured Anoxybacillus sp.
Lineage: Bacteria; Bacillati; Bacillota; Bacilli; Caryophanales; Anoxybacillaceae
Description: bacterial SSU rRNA
Rfam family: Bacterial small subunit ribosomal RNA
Source: RNAcentral
GCAUGGUUGUCGUCAGCUCGUGUCGUGAGAUGUUCGGGUUAAGUCCCGCAACGAGCGCAACCCUCGACCUUAGUUGCCAGCAUUCAGUUGGGCACUCUAAGGUGACUGCCGGCUAAAAGUCGGAGGAAGGUGGGGAUGACGUCAAAUCAUCAUGCCCCUUAUGACCUGGGCUACACGCGUGCUACAAUGGGCGGUACAAAGGGUCGCGAACCCGCGAGGGGGAGCCAAUCCCAAAAAAGCCGCUCUCAGUUCGGAUUGCAGGCUGCAACUCGCCUGCAUGAAGCCGGAAUCGCUAGUAAUCGCGGAUCAGCAUGCCGCGGUGAAUACGUUCCCGGGCCUU